UACGGAGGAUGCGAGCGUUAUCCGGAUUUACUGGGUUUAAAGGGUGCGUAGGCGGGAUGCCAAGUCAGCGGUAAAAAUGCGGUGCUCAACGCCGUCGAGCCGUUGAAACUGGCGUUCUUGAGUGGGCGAGAAGUAUGCGGAAUGCGUGGUGUAGCGGUGAAAUGCAUAGAUAUCACGCAGAACUCUGAUUGCGAAGGCAGCAUACCGGCGCCCUACUGACGCUGAGGCACGAAAGCGUGGGUAUCGAACAGG
RNAcentral lists this ribosomal RNA (252 nucleotides) under uncultured bacterium. Its description in RNAcentral is "partial 16S ribosomal RNA". It matches the Rfam family "Bacterial small subunit ribosomal RNA", at positions 524 to 776 of the family's 1533-position model. The record is from RNAcentral.